AUGUUAUAACCCGGUUUUGAUAUCCCAAUAACCCUAAUUGCCGUUCAAACUCAACCCCUCACAACCCUAACUUCAAUCACCUCAAUCUGUCGUUCAAUCCAAGCCUUUAAAAUCCUAAGUUCUAUAUGUUCAAUCUAUCCAAGAUUCAAACGCUACCGUUAAUUCGAUUUUAACAGUUAUAUAAUCAGUUAUUGAAUCAUUUGAAAGUACCUGCAUCCAGAACAUCCACUUUCCAAAUGUUAGGCAUCUACGGGACUCACUUGGUCAAGGGACAGAAGCAAAUAUGAUCCAUAAACAUGAAGAAGUGGUUGAAGCGAUUCCGGACGAGAAGGUUUGAGAGAGAACAUGGUAUAACAACCAAACGGCUAAUGACAACAAGAACAGUGGAUAUGGCUUGGAGAACGAGAUCGUUACGGGUUCUACCUAUGUUGCUUUUGCCUGCUUUGUCGUUCGGUUCGGUUUGUAUUAUGGGCUUUUGAGUUUCACUAAAUUUUGAUGUGGUCAAAUGGGUUAUCUACAUGCUUGAAUGGUAAAGCGGUUUGGGAUUGGCAUUGGAAGCGCACGUCUACAUCGGAAAACGAGAAGAUGGAAUCUCAUCAGCACCUUAUGGAUAUGUUAAUCCAGCAGUAAAUAAAGGACAAAGAAGAUAGGUUGUUAUAGGAUGGAGGUGGAGGCACAACGAAGUUCUCAAUCAAGAAGUGAGAAAGGAGUUAUAAGAUGGCCUCAGUACGAAUGUGCAAGUCCAACCUUUUAAGUGGAGCUCAAUCUCCCGAAAGUAAACUAUUUUUCAUGGAGGGUGGUAAGUAACAAAAUCCUUACAACUGAAGGUUUGAUCGCGAGAGGCAUCCAAGUGGGAGAUGUAUUGUGUCUGGCUUGCGGGAUACACACCGAAUUAGAAAACCAUCUUCUCACCUCAUGUAUUGUGGUGAAAAUAGUUUGGUGGUAAAUAUGUGUUUGGUUCAAAGUUCCAAUCCCAAAUCACUUUGAUUCUUUGAACUGGCUGCUUCUAUGCUGUCUUGAAUUAGGGGUGCCUACAAAGAAAGAGGAAAUAAUGUGCGCAAUAUUUUUUUAGAAACGGCUUGGAGGUAGUGAAUUGGUAGAAACAAAAAGGUUUUCAAAGGCGUUAACAUGAUGACUUAAAAAAUGGUGGACAAUAUUGAAGAGUCAACGAAUUGGUAGGCGGUAAAAAGAUCAAAGACGGUCGUUUUACCCAUCAAAAUUUGAAACAGUUUCAAUUGGAUGAAUUUUGGUUAAUGUACUGUUAUGUAGAUGUAAUCUGAGGUAGUAGUGGGUGGUUUGUUAUUUUGUUAUAUUCCCCAUUUUAAUCCUUUAGCCAACUUUGGUUUUGUUUU
Molecule: long non-coding RNA, 1352 nt
Organism: Helianthus annuus (common sunflower)
Lineage: Eukaryota; Viridiplantae; Streptophyta; Magnoliopsida; Asterales; Asteraceae
Exons: 4
Source: RefSeq, a predicted model, not a curated record